ACCCCAGGCGUCUUCGACAACCAUGGUGAAGGCCAUCCGCCCCCAGGCACCGUAACUUCGGGAGAAGGUGCGCCGGCUAGGGUGAAGGAUUUACUCCGUAAGCUCUGGCUGGUCGAAGAUACCAGGCCGCUGCGACUGUUUAUUAAAAACACAGCACUCUGCAAACACGAAA
This 172-nucleotide ribosomal RNA is filed under the name Pseudomonas aeruginosa. RNAcentral's name for it is "partial 23S ribosomal RNA". It matches the Rfam family "Bacterial large subunit ribosomal RNA", at positions 1679 to 1836 of the family's 2925-position model. Lineage: Bacteria; Pseudomonadati; Pseudomonadota; Gammaproteobacteria; Pseudomonadales; Pseudomonadaceae. The record is from RNAcentral.